UGUGUAUAUAUGUAUGUGUGUGUAUGUAUAUAUAUGUAUAUGUAUGUAGUAUACACACACACACACACACACACACACACACACACACAC
Molecule: microRNA precursor, 90 nt
Filed under: Notamacropus eugenii (tammar wallaby)
Lineage: Eukaryota; Metazoa; Chordata; Mammalia; Diprotodontia; Macropodidae
Description: miRNA (ENSMEUG00000017802.1)
Source: RNAcentral